CAACUGCAAACAUAAAAUUAAAUAUAUUUUUCUCAUCAUUUAAUUAAAUCUUUUAUUUUCACUUACAGAAAUGUUGAAUUCGGUAGAUUGGUAGAUUGGUGGAGAGAAAACAUGGAUUUUUAGCAGCUGAGGAGAAAAUUAAGAUUUCAGAUUUUGGAUAUUGGUGUUCUGUUUUUUUUGUUUGUUUUCAUCUUGAGUUUUUUGUUUUUUUUUUAAAUCAUCAGUCUUGGAGUGAAGAAGAGAAACCAGAAAGACACUUAUUUCAUUUCACGUGUGAAACUUUUGCUCUUGAAGAACUCUCAAGUACACAGCCAUGUGGUCGUCACAGCUACUAGUCUUCACCAUGCUCUUGGCACCAGUAGUAUAUGGUAAGACCUUGAAUUACAUUUCUUAUUGUUCCACUUAUUCAUACUAAACCCUUUCUUCCAAAUCUUUGCUCUAAUAUUUUGCAGCUUAUGCCUACCAUAUGGUAAUAUGUUAAAUAAAAGGCUGCUUAUUUACCUUAAGCUGCAAUAAAUAUCUCAUUUAGAUGGAUUUUAAAGCACUUUUGAAAUGUAUGUAUAACAAAAGUUUUUCUUUAGAACUCUUACAUGUUUUAGUUUUAGUUUUUAGCACUUUCUAUAAAUCAGCUGAAUAAUUAAAUGUUAUCUGUGAAUUAUUUGCUUUACAUUUCUGCAGUUAUCAAUUUUUGUGUAAGUAUGCACAUUUGGAAGAAAACUCCAC
RNAcentral lists this long non-coding RNA (723 nucleotides) under Dasypus novemcinctus (nine-banded armadillo). Its description in RNAcentral is "lncRNA (ENSDNOG00000050091.1)". The record is from RNAcentral. Lineage: Eukaryota; Metazoa; Chordata; Mammalia; Cingulata; Dasypodidae.